Molecule: RNase P RNA, 394 nt
Filed under: Mumia flava
Lineage: Bacteria; Bacillati; Actinomycetota; Actinomycetes; Propionibacteriales; Nocardioidaceae
Description: Bacterial RNase P class A
Rfam family: Bacterial RNase P class A
About the family: Ribonuclease P (RNase P) is a ubiquitous endoribonuclease, found in archaea, bacteria and eukarya as well as chloroplasts and mitochondria. Its best characterised activity is the generation of mature 5'-ends of tRNAs by cleaving the 5'-leader elements of precursor-tRNAs.
Source: Rfam by way of RNAcentral
UGAGUCGGCCGGGCGGUCGCGUCGGCCCGCAGCGAUGCGGGUCGCCGAGGAAGGUCCGGACUCCGCAGAGCGACGGUGGUGGGUAACGCCCACCCACGGUGACGUGCGGGACAGUGCCACAGAAAGCAGACCGCCAGCGGCCUCGCGUUCGCGCGGGGUGCGGGUAAGGGUGAAACGGUGGGGUAAGAGCCCACCAGCGCCCCGGGUGACCGGGGCGGCUCGGUAAACCCCACCGGGAGCAAGACCAAGAAGGACCUCCGGGUCCGCGCAGGCGACGACGCUGCUCGCCGAGCCUGCGGGUAGGUCGCUGGAGCGACGCGGCAACGCGUCGCCGAGAGAGAUGACCGCCGGGGCGUGCGCCUCACAGAAUCCGGCCUACAGGCCGGCUCAUCCG